Molecule: long non-coding RNA, 1241 nt
Filed under: Lynx canadensis (Canada lynx)
Lineage: Eukaryota; Metazoa; Chordata; Mammalia; Carnivora; Felidae
Description: lncRNA (ENSLCNG00005021014.1)
Source: RNAcentral
UGAUUAAAGAAGUGAAGAUUCUUGAAGUCCACGUAGACAAAGGCAUGAACAUGGACAGAGAAUUACAUUCACUGGGGAAGCAGAUCAGGCCCCAGGAGUGGAACCAGGAGACAUUGUUCUUUUGCUCCAAGAGAAGGAACAUGAGGUGUUCCAGAGAGACGGGAAUGAUUUGCACAUGACAUACAAGAUAGACUUGUUGAAGCUUUGUGUGGAUUUCAGUUCACAUUUAAACCCUUGAUGGACGUCAGAUUGUGGUGAAAUACCCCCUGGAAAAGUAAUUGAACCAGGUAGAUCUUGAUUUUUGUUUGACCCAGGAUUCCAUGUGUUCUUUUGUGAUUUUAAUUUUUUAUAGCUAGUGACUCUCAAAAGAAUUAUUGAGUACCUUCUUGAAUAAAUUCUAAAUAGUUUCCUUUUUACUCAAUAUGUGUCCGUGUAGUUCGAGGUGAAGGAAUGCCACAGUAUCGUAAUCCCUUUGAAAAGGUGAUCUAUACAUAAAAUUUGAUGUGCAGUUUCCUGAAAACAACUGGAUCAACCCAGACAAGCUUUCUGUAAGUGUUCUGUAAGCAGCAGAUAACUUAAAGUUUAAUAAUAGUUGCUUUUCUUUGUCACCGUUCAUUUGUUUUUAGUGCUAAGAUUAGAACACAUAAUUUAUAAAAUUUUACUUUUUUAACAUUUGAGUGAUUGUUGGGCCGUUCUGGUGGUUAUUAAAUGCGAGGCUUGCUGGUGUAAAUGUUGACAGGGCCAAGCGGGAAUAGUAAAGAAAAGCAGACUGGGUAUGAGUUGGUGUUGGGAGGAUUGGGGCUCUCUGGAGACCAGAUCCCUCACCUGAAAAGGCAUCCAACAUCAUAGUAUGCCAGCUUAGCAUCUUUUAGCUGUUCUAUGCGGGAAGGCACGUCUCAUGUGAAAUCUUUCAGUGUUUUAAUGUUGGGAACUGAUUCUGGCUUUUUAUUUUCUAAGUAGUAGUUGGGUUGUACAAAAGAUUUCUGCAGAUUUGGCCUGUGUGUCAUCAGUUUGUGAUCUCUGGCUUAAAGUGCACAUAGGUUGGCCUAUCUUAACUCUCAAGCAUAUUUCUUGGAUUGUAUCCAAAGGAAAGUUGAAGAUAUUUCCCAGCUAAUCUGUGUUUUGUUUUAAUGAGGAACUAGAAGACCUUCUGCCAUCUAGACCAGAAGUUCCAACAUCAUUGGAGAUACAGAGGAGGUAGAGCUUCAAGAAUUUGAUAGCACUCGGGGCUCAGGAGGUGG